AAACUCUCCAGAAUAAAGUUGUUAACAGGGUAAACUCUACAGAAUAAAGUUGUUAACAUGUUAACAGGGUAAACUCUACAGAAUAAAGUUGUUAACAGGGUAAACUCUACAGAAUAAAGUUGUUAACAUGGUAAACUCUACAGAAUAAAGUUGUUAACAGGGUAAACUCUACAGAAUAAAGUUGUUAACAUGUUAACAGGGUAAACUCUACAGAAUAAAGUUGUUAACAGGGUAAACUCUACAGAAUAAAGUUAACAGGGUAAACUCUACAGAAUAAAGUUGUUAACAUGUUAACGGGGUAAACUCUACAGAAUAAAGUUGUUAACAGGGUAAACUCUACAGAAUAAAGUUGUUAACAGGGUAAACUCUACAGAAUAAAGUUGUUAACAUGGUAAACUCUACAGAAUAAAGUUGUUAACAGGGUAAACUCUACAGAAUAAAGUUGUUAACAGGGUAAACUCUACAGAAUAAAGUUGUUAAUGGGGUAAACUCUACAGAAUAAAGUUGUUAACAUGUUAACAGGGUAAACUCUACAGAAUAAAGUUGUUAACAGGGUAAACUCUACAGAAUAAAGUUGUUAACAUGGUAAACUCUACAGAAUAAAGUUGUUAACAGGGUAAACUCUACAGAAUAAAGUUGUUAACAUGUUAACAGGGUAAACUCUACAGAAUAAAGUUGUUAACAUCAACCAGUAGAAGCACAUCACACACCUUGUCUAUGUCCCAAAUAGGAUCCUAUUCCCUGUAUCGUGCCCUACUUUCAUCUAGAGACCUAUUCCCUGUAUCGUGCCCUACUUUCAUCUAGAGCCCUAUUCCCUGUAUCGUGCCAUAUUCCCUGUAUCGUGCCCUA
Oncorhynchus keta (chum salmon) is the source of this 849-nucleotide long non-coding RNA. RefSeq lists it as uncharacterized. The record is from RefSeq and is a predicted model, not a curated record. The transcript has 5 exons. Lineage: Eukaryota; Metazoa; Chordata; Actinopteri; Salmoniformes; Salmonidae.